This 2942-nucleotide long non-coding RNA is filed under the name Callithrix jacchus (white-tufted-ear marmoset). RNAcentral's name for it is "lncRNA (ENSCJAG00000082597.1)". The record is from RNAcentral. Lineage: Eukaryota; Metazoa; Chordata; Mammalia; Primates; Cebidae.
GGGGCGGGGCGCGGGCCGGCGCCCCGCUGAUGGCACCACCCGGGAGCCCAGGGAGGAGCGACUUUUUCGGCGAAUUGGGGGCAAUGGACAGGAGAGGCGCUGUGACCCUGCACUUUGGGAAGUUUUAUAUCGUAUUAAACUGUUAGCUUGACUCCAAUCCCUUAAUCAAUUUUAUCUCUUCUUUGACACUGAAUCUUGUGUUAUUGUAUGUGUAAAGGCAUGAAAUCGCCUUUACUGUCAUCAUUGUCAUCAUCACCAUCAUCAUCUAGUGCUAAUAUAAUAACUAUUACUUAUCUCCUAAACGUUUUUCACAUCUGCCUCCUUUUCCUCCCCACUCCCGAUGCCUUAGUCCAAGGGAUGAAGAGAGCAUUGCAGUGGGAGAAACCUGGGUUCUGAGAGAUCUUGGGCAAAUUACUUACCCUCACAACUUCUUUACCUUUUUGGAGAUGGUAAUACCGGUGCCACUUUGGUAGGGUUGCUGUUGCAUAAACAAGAUUAAGUAUGUAAUGGGCUUAGGAAGUGCCUGGUUUUAAUUCAUCUGCUAUGAUUAAAAUGAUCAUUAUUAUUCAGACUUUGAUCAUCUUUCUUUAAUAGACUUAAGGGUUUCUAACUGUUUUCAGCUGCAGUUUUGUUCCCUUUAAUGCGCAGGAGAACAGAGGAUCUCUCCAAGUGCAUAUGAGAUCCAGAGUCUAGGGUCACUCCUUGACUUAGAAUCCAUGUGGCUCCCACAUGCCCUCUGGAUAAAGUCCAAGCUUCUUAAUAUGGUCUACAAGCCCAAUCCAAAUCUUCUCACCACCUGCUUCCAUCCAUUUGUUUCUGCAUUUUCUCUCUCUUCACCAACACAUAAUUACUUAUUAUUUAUUUUUCUGCCCAUUUCCAGAUUCCCAACAUGCCAUUUAUAGCCUCCCUGAUUUUGAACCUGGAGGUGUAAUUAGCAACCUGAAUCUUACAUUGUUACUAGUUUUUAUUAAAACUAGCUUAAGACAAGUGCUCCUUCUUUGAGGUUUCCCUUUCAUCUUGAUUUGUUUCUAAAUCCUCUGGAUUUGUGGGGGUACAAGAGGGAUGGGGGAGCACUCCCUGACUUCCGCAUACCAGCAGGAAGUUGGCUGCCUCAUUGUUUCUUGCUGCUACAAGGGUUGCAGCCAAAACACUGGCCCUCCAGAGGUCCUCAGUGGCAUAAGAGGACUCAGUGCCAAGAGGCUACAGGGACUCACGGACUUCAUUAUCAAAGCCCUGUGCUGACUGACUUCCAGGUGUACUAUGUCAGUGGAGAACCUGGCAGAUUGGUGGAAGGAGAAGAUUAUGAACAUCUGGCAAUUAAAGGUCUUCAUUUGUUGAAGAAGGAGAAGGAGAAGAAAGAAGAAAAGGAGGAGGAGGAAGAGGAGGAGAAGGAGGAGGAGAGAAAAGAAAGAAAAAACAAAACAAAAAAACCACAACUAGACAAAGUCAUUCAUGUGUAAAAUAUAUCUCUCAUUCCUAUCCUGUUCUGAACUCCCUCCCCUUCACCACCGAAUUUGUGAAAUUUUAAUGAAUUACCUGAAUUAAAGUAUCAAAUGAAUUGAGAAAAAAAUGAAAAAUAUAUAAUUGAAAAUGUUUAAAAACGAUAGUAUUUAUUACUGUACUUUGAGUUUUGAAGAAUUUAAAACUACAGUUGACACUGUAUCCUGAAAUAAAUUCUAGAAGGCUUAAAUAAUUUAAUGUAUAUUUUUAAAAACACAAAUAAGUGAAUAAGUAGAAGAAAACAGAAUGGAAUAUUCCAUCUCUAAAGACUGAAGACUUUCCAGAGCUUAGAAAACUAUUAAAAAUCAGCCUGGCCAACAUGGUGAAACCCCAUCUCUACUAAAAAUACAAAAAUCGGCCAGGCUCAAUGGCUCACACCUGUAAUCCCAGCACUUUGGGAGGCUGAGGCAAGGGGAUCACCUGAGGUCAGGAGUUCAAGACCAGCCUGGCUAACAUGGUGAAACCCCAUUUCUAUUAAAUUACAAAAAAUUAGCCAGGUGUGGUGGCAUACACCUAUAAUCCCAGCUAUUCAGGAGGCUGAAGCAGAAGAAUCGCUCGAACCUGGGAGGCAGAAGCUGCAGUGAGCCAAGAUCAUGCCAUUGCACUCAGUUUGGGAAACAAGACUGAAACUCUGGGCCGGGCACAGUGGCAGGCAGGUCAUGAGGUCAAGAGACCAAGACCAUCCUGGCCAACAUGGUAAAACCACAUCUCUAUUAAAAAUACAAAAAUUAGCUGGGCAUGGUGGUGUGUGCCUAUAGUCCCAGCUACUAAGGGAGGCUGAGGCAAAAGAAUCACUUGAACCCGGGAGGCGGAGGUGGCAGUGAGCUCAGAACGAGCCACUGCAUUCCAGCCUGGCAACAAAGUGAGAUUCCAUCUCAAAAAAAAAAAAAAAAAAUCAGAAAGGUAUGAUGAACAGGUUUUAUGUUAGUACCUAAAAAAUAGAAUAUAUUUACUACAAAAGGUUGAUGUCUAUAUUACAUAAAGAAUACAUGCAGAACAACUUUUAAAUCUCACUAUUAGAUUGAAGCAGCAAGGUUCCGCUUUUCACCUAUUAGAGAAAAAAAAAACUAUGAAGAUAAUAGCCACAUGAUUGUUAAAAAGGAUUAAAAUUGGUGCUCCUCAGUGCUCCUGGAAGCAGUAUGAAUUGCUGUAACUGUUUUGGAAAGUUGCUUGGUAAUAUGAAUUGUGAAUAUCCAUCUAAGAAUAUUUAUGCCCUUUAAUCCAGCAAUUUAAUUUCUCAGAAUUUUUAUCAGGCGAAUGAUCCUGAAUAUAAGAGAGAAAGAUUCAACACAUCAUUUUAUUUAUUUAUUUUUAAAACUUUUGUAGAGAGAGUCUCACUCUGUUGCCCAGGUUUGUCUCGUCUCAAACUCCUGAGCUCAAGCAUCUUCCCACCUUGGCCUCCCAAAGUGCUGGGAUUAUAAGCAUGAGCCACUGUGUCCAAC